GACGAACGCUGGCGGCGUGCUUAACACAUGCAAGUCGAACGAAACUACCAAGCUUGCUUGGUUGAUUAGUGGCAAACGGGUGGGUAACGCCCGAGUAACCUGCACCUUACUUUGCUGGAGAACUUCACGAAGGGGUAGCUAAUACGGGAUAUUCUUUCCAGCCUGCAUGUGGGGGUGUGGAAAGUUUGUUUUUCUGUUAAGGGAUGGGCUCGCGGCCUAUCAGCUUGUUGGUGGGGUGAUGGCCUACCAAGGCGUUGACGGGUAGCUGGCCUGAGAGGAUGAACGGUCACACUGGGACUGAGACACGGCCCAGACUCCUACGGGAGGUAGCAGUGGGGAAUAUUGCACAAUGGGCGCAAGCCUGAUGCAGCGACGCCGCGUGAGGGAUGAAGGCCUUCGGGUUGUAAAGCUCUUUUACCCGGGAUGAUAAUGACAGUACCGGGAGAAUAAGCUCCGGCUAACUCCGUG
This 468-nucleotide ribosomal RNA is filed under the name uncultured bacterium. RNAcentral describes it as "partial 16S ribosomal RNA". It matches the Rfam family "Bacterial small subunit ribosomal RNA", at positions 28 to 507 of the family's 1533-position model. The record is from RNAcentral.